UCUCAGUUGUGGCCUAGGACUCUAGUAGCUAUAAUGAAUUGAAAAGUCUCUGCCUUGAGAAUCCUGACGUGUCAUAAUAAGCUUCAAUUACAAUGGACUAUGAUGUGUUUUUCAAACUUUAGUUUUCCUAAUACAUAGCUGGUUUCCAUCCUGCCAAAUUCUGGGUUUAUCUGUGUAAAGGAUUUACUUGUUUCUGGUUCUUGGAGAUGGAAAUUAGCAAACUGGAUAGCCUGCUUGAAGAAAAUUAUUUUAUUUCUAGUGAUACCAAGGGAAAAUCAAAGUACAAAAGAGCUUAUGAAAAGGUAUAAAAAUGGUAACCAGAAGCAGUUCAGAGACGAGAAGUUUUCCCGUCCAAUUUGUCAUUAUAGGCUGUUUUCAGAUCCUACUUGUACUUAGUCCUGUGUGCAGUAGUUAAUUGUACAUUUUUUCUUUCCUUGUUCAACUAAUGUCAACGGAAUUCUCAUCUGAAGAAUACAGAGCUCAUGACUUAAAUUUCUUCUCUAUUAUGGAAUUUUCCUAUUUAAAAAAUAAUGAAGAGAUCUAACCAGUUAUUUUUAUAAUUAUUGAGAUGUUUUCAUAUAUCUUGU
Long non-coding RNA from Passer domesticus (house sparrow), 587 nucleotides. RefSeq lists it as uncharacterized. The transcript is spliced from 3 exons. NCBI's taxonomy places the organism in Eukaryota, Metazoa, Chordata, Aves, Passeriformes, Passeridae. The record is from RefSeq and is a predicted model, not a curated record.